UACGGGAGGCAGCAGUGGGGAAUAUUGCACAAUGGGCGAAAGCCUGAUGCAGCUAUGCCGCGUGUAUGAAGAAGGCCUUAGGGUUGUAAAGUACUUUCAUCGGGGAGGAAAAAACAAAACUAAUAAUUUUAUUUCUUGACGUUACCCGAAAAAGAAGCACCGGCUAACUCCGUGCCAGCAGCCGCGGUAAUACGGAGGGUGCUAGCGUUAAUCAGAAUUACUGGGCGUAAAGAGCACGUAGGUGGUUUUUUUAAGUUCAGAUGUGAAAUCCCUGGGCUUAACCUGGAACUGCAUUUUGAAACUGAAAUACUAGAGUAUCGUAGAGGGAGGUAGAAUUCUAGGUGUAGCGGUGAAAUGCGUAGAUAUCUGGAGGAAUACCUGUGGCGAAAGCGGCCCCUAACGAAUACUGACACUGAGGUGCGAAAGCGUGGGGAGGCAAACAGGGAUUAGAUACC
RNAcentral lists this ribosomal RNA (455 nucleotides) under uncultured bacterium. RNAcentral's name for it is "bacterial SSU rRNA". It matches the Rfam family "Bacterial small subunit ribosomal RNA", at positions 340 to 786 of the family's 1533-position model. The record is from RNAcentral.